GACAGAAAGACCCUAUGAAGCUUUACUGUAGCUUGGAAUUGAAUUUGGGUUUAUUUUGUGCAGUAUAGGUGGGAGGCUAAGAUAUUAUAUUUGCGGGUAUAAAGGAGCCAACAGUGAGAUACCACUCUAAUUAAACUAGAAUUCUAAUCUUGUAACCGUUAUCCGGUCAAGAAACAGUUUCAGGUGGGCAGUUUGACUGGGGCGGUCGCCUCCUAAAAAGUAACGGAGGCGUGCAAAGGUUUCCUCAGACUGGUCGGAAAUCAGUCGUAGAGUGUAAAGGCAAAAGGAAGCUUGACUGCAAGACCUACAAGUCGAGCAGAGACGAAAGUCGGCCUUAGUGAUCCGACAGUACUGAGUGGAAAGGCUGUCGCUCAACGGAUAAAAGUUACUCUAGGGAUAACAGGCUGA
This 408-nucleotide ribosomal RNA is filed under the name Wrangelia elegantissima. RNAcentral's name for it is "bacterial LSU rRNA". It matches the Rfam family "Bacterial large subunit ribosomal RNA", at positions 2079 to 2485 of the family's 2925-position model. The record is from RNAcentral. Lineage: Eukaryota; Rhodophyta; Florideophyceae; Ceramiales; Ceramiaceae.